UUUUUUUUUUUUUUUUACUUUUGCAGUGAUUAACAUACAAAAAGCCAAAAACAGUCUACAGCUUGGUAACAUUUUAUACAUGUAUGCACCUGUGUAUGCACCUCCUAGAUAUAGCACUUUCCCAGCUUCCCAGAAGGUUCUCUCUUGAAGGUAAACCCUACUCUGUUCUCUAUCACCAUGCACACGCCCUUUCAAACACUAUGAUCUAGAGAAAGUAGCAUUGUGCAUAUUGUGAGAAGCUUGCUUUCAGGAGAGAGAGAAAAAGAGACAGAGGCAAGGAGAGAGGGAAAGAGAGAGGGAGGAAAGGAGAGAGAGAGAACAGGAGAGAGAAAAUAAGAGAGAGAAAAAGGAACUGAAUGAUGGCUGAGCAGUUGUUCCUUUAAAAUUUACCAAGCAGAUUAAGACCGCCUAGUCUCCCCUGGGAAGAAAUUGGGGAAGGGGAAGUGUUUAUAAUUGGCCAGGGAACUUAUGCUAGUAGGUCUCCCUUCACGUGGGAAGAAAUACCAGGAUUGGAGAAGAAGUCAAUCCCUAGGUGAAUAUGUAAAUCCUUAGAAGGUAGAUGAUGCUAUAACAAUACGCACAAAAUAUCGUAGGAUUAACAUGACACAUCUUCCGGGAGCAUCAAUUUUACUCAACAAGUUGGGGGAAUAUUAUUUUAAUACUAACACAAAUAUGGAGAUAUUUAUGGAACAGAAUUUAAAAUUCACAUGAAUUUUUAAAACAAAACAUAAUACUUUAAAGCUCUUUUAAGCUUGCUUUGGGCUGCUUUGGGCUAAGCCCCCAGGUCCCCCCAGGGGUAUAUGUUCAUUCCUCUGCCUAGGGUAACUUCAGUGAAAAAAAAGUCUGGAAGCUCUCCUAGGACACUGAGCAUGAAACCUUUGUUAAAGCACCGGCAUGAACUUGGCAAUGCUCGCAGAUUGCAAAGCAAAGAAGAGAGGGAUUCAGAAUCAGGAGAGACAGUCAUCAAAGUCACAUGGCCCAGGAGACAGAUAAACAGCACAGCCCCAAAUGGGUAAGCUGACUAACGGCCAGCAAAGAGGGAAGGAGGAAGGGAGGAUGAGAGGAAGAAUAUGAAGUCUAAAGACAGUGGCCAAGAUAACAAGGGAUGGCAGGACUUGAAGGUCAGGGCUGAGGCAGAAACAGGCAUUCCAACCUGUCUCCUGCUUUUUCUGAUCCAGGGAGCCAUGCCACACAACUCUGCCCAGCUUUGUCAGGGAUGUUCUCUGAGUGAGAUAGGUCACAUGGGAUUUUGUUUGCAGAUGGGUGGUGCUCACUCUUGUUCCCUGGCAGUUUAGUUUAGGUACACCUGGUGAUCAUAUCCUGCCACUCUAGAGACUAGAAGAGAUGAGAAUCCUGAGUCUAUCAAGUGGGACUUGCUGCCAGAAGUUAUAACGCUGGUACCUGUGGAAUUGAGGCAGAUAGAAUAUGGUAUGGCUGUCAGGUGUUAUUUAUUAUAAAUGUAAGGGAUUGUGUAAACUUGAAGGCGGGUGCAUUGUUUAAAAGCACUCAAAUGGGAAAACAACAACAACAACAACAAACCUGACUGGCUAGCCAGUCUAGCUUUUCUGCUGUAUUUGGUUUGCUGGAUAUCCUUUCUGUCUCCCUGUCACCUCUAACAGAACUUUUUUCCCUGUAAUCUCAACAUAUAGUUUUUUUUCUUUUAAUUCCCCUAAUAAUCAGUAGAAGCCAUGCUGUUAUUCACAUUUUCCAAAAAGAGAAGUCAAGGUCCAGAAAUGAAGUAAUUUUCUCAAGGCCACAAAACCAGUAGAAGUUAGGACCAAAUUAGAAACAAAGAUUUUUUUUUAAAUUUUUAAAUUGUGACAUCCACUUUAGAGCUCCCAAAACUCUGUAGAAUGUGUACUACAGACCAAAGAGGUAGAAAGCUAUGAUCCUCUGAAGAAACGUGGUUUGCAGAAUAUUUAUCCAUCGAAUAGUUAUCAAAUAUAAUAGUGCUAUUUAACAAAAUACAGUGACAACUUUGCUAUUUUAAAUAACAUGUCUCAAAAUAAACAAUAACAGCAAAGCUGGGACUCUUGAAAGUCAAGAGAAGAAAUGGUUAUUGAUUUGGAAAAAAAUAAUUGCUUUAACAGCAGAAACAUUUUAAUAUGAAACUUAAAAAGAAACUGUCAGCUGAUGUGGUCAAAGACUCAUUAAUAGACAGAUAUUGGACAGCUUUUUCACUAACUGUUAUCUUGGUGACAUCACUUUAUAUAAUGAAUUUUGAUUUUUUUUGGCAUAUGUGUACAAAAUCCAAUGAAACAUUGAAAAGAAAAAUGAUAAAAAUUAGUGAAGGUUAAUGACUUCUCUAACUAGGUGAUUGUUCACAGCAUUCAUUAUUAGCAGCAGAGUUUUUACAACUUAGCACUUUUGUUAUGUUCUACUUCUUGUUUUAUUUUUCUGAGAACGCUGUCAUGAAUGUUGAUUUCACUCAAUAACUGGAGAGUUCACAAAAUGCCUGUCAAAGCAGAAUUAGAUUCCGAGCCUGACCUGACUGAUGUCGCAAAUUUCUUUGACUUAGAAGUUAGAGACCCACCAUUAUUCAACGUUCUUUGACUGCCUUUCCCACUGUUUUGGUAGCCAAACACAGAUUUCUUUGCCUAGAACCAUCACCAUUUCAGUUAAAGAAAAUAGUAUCUUCUAAGUGCAUAUGUCCCCUCUUGAUUCCAGGCUUUUGGUAGCUAGAAUCGAGGCAUAAUGGUAUAACUCCACUAGCCACAGAAGCCUCAAUAAUGACUUUAAAACCACCCACACAAAAAGCUACCUCUCUCCUGGCUGUGAAGUCACAACGGAAAAACAUUAUUGUACCCUCACACUUGUGAACAAUUCUAUUGUUAACGAUGGUAUAUUAAGCCGGUGGCCUUAUUCAUUAGUACAAAAUACAGCAGAGUACAUUUUCAAGUGUGUGCUGUGAAUUGCAUACACGCUGCACAUUAUUGUCAUCAGCGCUGUGCUGAGGGAAUUUAGCAAAAACUGUUUAGAGGCACCCCAUAAUAGUUGUCUGUAAUUGUUUCAAAAUUGGUUUUCUGGGGUUUAGAGCUCAGUUUUUAUUAUUGUUGUUAUUUAUUAAUCUCAUUCUAUGACUGUCACAACUGAUC
RNAcentral lists this long non-coding RNA (3095 nucleotides) under Canis lupus familiaris (dog). Its description in RNAcentral is "lncRNA (ENSCAFG00845004138.1)". Lineage: Eukaryota; Metazoa; Chordata; Mammalia; Carnivora; Canidae. The record is from RNAcentral.